Molecule: ribosomal RNA, 446 nt
Filed under: uncultured bacterium
Lineage: Bacteria
Description: bacterial SSU rRNA
Rfam family: Bacterial small subunit ribosomal RNA
Source: RNAcentral
UAGGGAAUAUUGGGCAAUGGAGGGAACUCUGACCCAGCCAUGCCGCGUGCAGGAUGAAGGCGUUAUGCGUUGUAAACUGCUUUUAUAUAGGAAGAAAUAGUCCUUGCGAGGAAAGUUGACGGUACUAUAUGAAUAAGCACCGGCUAACUCCGUGCCAGCAGCCGCGGUAAUACGGAGGGUGCAAGCGUUGUCCGGAUUUAUUGGGUUUAAAGGGUGCGUAGGCGGUUUAUUAAGUCAGUGGUGAAAGACGGUCGCUCAACGAUUGCAGUGCCAUUGAUACUGGUAGACUUGAGUAUGAUUGAGGUAGCUGGAAUGGAUAGUGUAGCGGUGAAAUGCAUAGAUAUUAUCCAGAACACCAAUUGCGUAGGCAAGUUACUAAGUCAUAACUGACGCUGAGGCACGAAAGUGUGGGUAUCAAACAGGAUUAGAUACCCAUGUAGUCCUUG